GGAUUAGAUACCCUGGUAGUCCACGCCGUAAACGAUGCGCACUAGAUCGGAGACACUCUCACGUGCUUUCGGUCGAAGGAAAACUGUUAAGUGCGCCGCCUGGGGAGUACGGUCGCAAGGCUAAAACUCAAAGGAAUUGACGGGGGCUCACACAAGCGGUGGAGCAUGUUGCUUAAUUCGAGGCAACGCGAAGAACCUUACCUGGGUUUGACAUGCACGGAUUAACUCUGUGAAAGCAGAGCCACGCCCUCGGGUGGAACGUGCACAGGUGCUGCAUGGCUGUCGUCAGCUCGUGCCG
This 298-nucleotide ribosomal RNA is filed under the name uncultured bacterium. RNAcentral's name for it is "partial 16S ribosomal RNA". It matches the Rfam family "Bacterial small subunit ribosomal RNA", at positions 775 to 1067 of the family's 1533-position model. The record is from RNAcentral.